UCACCGAAGUCAAGCAUCAUCGGGCGCGGUCAGUACUUGGGUGGGUGACCACCUGGGAACACCGCGUGCCGUU
RNAcentral lists this ribosomal RNA (73 nucleotides) under Caerostris darwini. Lineage: Eukaryota; Metazoa; Arthropoda; Arachnida; Araneae; Araneidae. The record is from RNAcentral.